AACACCUCAAGUCAAGAAGUUGGUUUUUUAAAUUAAUUUUCGAGACUUGGAUUUGAGUGAUCCUAACUAUUUCUUGAAAUAGGCAGGUCAUUUGAAAUUCAGGUGCAGCUGAACUUUUCUUCUGAGCUAAAAGCAUUAUUUUAUUUAGUCUCCGGACUAUUACUUUUUGCUGCAGCUAACAUAAAGGGAGAGAGUGUUCAUUUAUGGCUGACUGAUGCAGGAAUUUAUCAGUUCUUUUUCCGUAAAAAGAAAAGACUGUUAG
This 262-nucleotide unclassified non-coding RNA is filed under the name uncultured fungus. Its description in RNAcentral is "sequence contains ITS2". Lineage: Eukaryota; Fungi. The record is from RNAcentral.